Molecule: microRNA precursor, 91 nt
Filed under: Oryza glaberrima (African rice)
Lineage: Eukaryota; Viridiplantae; Streptophyta; Magnoliopsida; Poales; Poaceae
Description: pre miRNA mir-598
Source: RNAcentral
UGGGCAUGGUGGUGGUGAUGGUGAUGGUGAUGAUGCAGUGGACGGGGGGUGCGGCGGCGAGGCAUCAUCAUCAUCAUCAUCAUCAUAAGAA